UACGAAGGGGGCUAGCGUUGUUCGGAAUUACUGGGCGUAAAGCGCACGUAGGCGGAUUUUUAAGUCAGGUGUGAAAUCCCGGGGCUCAACCUCGGAACUGCAUUUGAAACUGGAAGUCUUGAGACCAGGAGAGGUUAGCGGAAUACCGAGUGUAGAGGUGAAAUUCGUAGAUAUUCGGUGGAACACCAGUGGCGAAGGCGGCUAACUGGACUGGUACUGACGCUGAGGUGCGAAAGUGUGGGGAGCAAACAGG
RNAcentral lists this ribosomal RNA (253 nucleotides) under uncultured bacterium. RNAcentral describes it as "partial 16S ribosomal RNA". It matches the Rfam family "Bacterial small subunit ribosomal RNA", at positions 524 to 776 of the family's 1533-position model. The record is from RNAcentral.